RNAcentral lists this ribosomal RNA (509 nucleotides) under uncultured bacterium. RNAcentral describes it as "partial 16S ribosomal RNA". It matches the Rfam family "Bacterial small subunit ribosomal RNA", at positions 28 to 506 of the family's 1533-position model. The record is from RNAcentral.
GACGAACGCUGGCGGCGUGCUUAACACAUGCAAGUCGAACGAAGAGCGAUGGAAGCUUGCUUCUAUCAAUCUUAGUGGCGAACGGGUGAGUAACGCGUAAUCAACCUGCCCUUCAGAGGGGGACAACAGUUGGAAACGACUGCUAAUACCGCAUACGAUCUAACCUCGGCAUCGAGGAAAGAUGAAAGGUGGCCUCUAUGUAUAAGCUAUCACUGAAGGAGGGGAUUGCGUCUGAUUAGCUAGUUGGAGGGGUAACGGCCCACCAAGGCGAUGAUCAGUAGCCGGUCUGAGAGGAUGAACGGCCACAUUGGGACUGAGACACGGCCCAGACUCCUACGGGAGGCAGCAGUGGGGAAUCUUCCGCAAUGGACGAAAGUCUGACGGAGCAACGCCGCGUGAGUGAUGACGGCCUUCGGGUUGUAAAGCUCUGUUAAUCGGGACGAAAGGCCUUCUUGCGAAUAGUGAGAAGGAUUGACGGUACCGGAAUAGAAAGCCACGGCUAACUACGU